ACGAAGCCGACUCCAGUGCGCCUGCGCGUCCCGGACCGCUGCUGUCGGGCUCAGGCUGCCCCACGCGGCUCGCGCCGCCGCCGGGAUGCUUUUCUAUUCGUUCUUCAAAUCCCUGGUGGGGAAGGACGUGGUGGUGGAAUUAAAAAAUGAUCUGAGUAUCUGUGGGACCCUCCAUUCUGUGGAUCAGUACCUGAACAUCAAGCUGACCGACAUCAGCGUGACGGAUCCGGAGAAGUACCCCCACAUU
Long non-coding RNA from Gopherus evgoodei (Goodes thornscrub tortoise), 247 nucleotides. RefSeq lists it as uncharacterized. The transcript has 4 exons. The record is from RefSeq and is a predicted model, not a curated record. Lineage: Eukaryota; Metazoa; Chordata; Testudines; Testudinidae.